UACAGAGGGUGCAAGCGUUAAUCGGAAUUACUGGGCGUAAAGCGCGCGUAGGUGGUUUGUUAAGUUGGAUGUGAAAUCCCCGGGCUCAACCUGGGAACUGCAUCAAAACUGACAAGCUAGAGUAUGGUAGAGGGUGGUGGAAUUUCCUGUGUAGCGGUGAAAAUGCGUAGAUAUAGGAAGGAACACCAGUGGCGAAGGCGACCACCUGGACUGAUACUGACACUGAGGUGCGAAAGCGUGGGGAGCAAACAGG
Molecule: ribosomal RNA, 253 nt
Filed under: uncultured bacterium
Lineage: Bacteria
Description: partial 16S ribosomal RNA
Rfam family: Bacterial small subunit ribosomal RNA
Source: RNAcentral